Molecule: long non-coding RNA, 2197 nt
Organism: Dermochelys coriacea (leatherback sea turtle)
Lineage: Eukaryota; Metazoa; Chordata; Testudines; Dermochelyidae
Exons: 4
Source: RefSeq, a predicted model, not a curated record
CAAGAGUGGGCUCUGAGUGGAAGUGUGCAAUAUGGAUCUUCGGCAAUCAGUCUGCUAUUGGGACAGUCUGGAUCAAGAUGGGUUGAGUUGUGCCUCUCUGCCUUAGAAGGGAGACUGGUUUCUGUUUCAGAGAAAGAGAGAAGAGAGUGACUUCCGAUCAAUGCUCUUACUCAACGGGAUAUUCCAGAAGGCACUCACAGGGACUGUGAUUAUCUUCAAAGUGAAAAUAAACACUUGAGGAGAGAAUAGCAGAGUCUGAACUAAUUUUUUCACCAAUUUCAGCCAAAUACAGGAUCUGUCAAGAUGGGAAAUAGUAAGUCUGCAUGGAUUUUUUGGCAGUUUAACUCAGAGAAGAUCAAGAGGAUAUAGAAAUAUUUUUUCAUCUUUUUAAUCUUUACAUCAUCCUGUCCACAUAAAUGUCUGUAGCAGCUUAGGUUUGAUACAGCCUAGAAUCUGAUCCCAUUAACAGAGUCACAUAUGCCUUAAACCAACACAGUCCCAUUGAAUGCAGCUCAGCAUUGGAUUUUAAAAUCAAUAACUGUGAAUUUUGUUUAGAGGACUAAGAGUCAGUUUUUAAAGGCACUUAGAUACCUAACUCCCAUUGAAAUCAAUGGAAGAUAGGCAGUUUAAUACCUUUAAACGUCUAGCCGUAAACUGUUGGUGAAUCAAAGAGACAUAUCAAGCUAUGGAUAUUAGUGCAGAAAAUCAUAUAAUUUAAUGAAGAAAUGCUAUAAGCUUCACAAUUGACAGUGUGUUCUAAUGGUUGAUUGGGCUGGAACUUAUUUCUCAGGACAUAUGGAUCGUAAUAAAAAUCAGUUACAUUUUAUCAGGAUGCAGUUUAGAUAAAACAAUGUGCAAGUAUUUAAAGAGCUCUUUUUCUUUUCCAGAACCUCCCAAGGAAUUAAACAGUAAGUCUGCCUGGAAAUUUCAACAGAUUCACUCUCUCUCUCCUUCUCUCUCACUCACACACAAAGAAGGUGGGCAGUGCAAAUGUUAACUGUAUCUUCUGGAAUCCUUACAUCCUGCCCUCUGAAGUGUGUGGAAGCAGCUAGACUCUGAAGCAGCCUAAGGACCAAUCUUGCAAAAUCAUCCACACUCAGGCCCCAGUUCUCCGUUCUGGCUCACAGUGUGUCCUGGCCAUGGAUGGGAAGGGAGGAAAUGGUGAUGUAAAGCCAUCUUUGUAUUUCCUUGUAUUCUGGAUCCAGUCCCUGACACUGACAACAGCUCCCUCAGAACUGCUCUUACCUACAGUCAGUUUCCCAUAUUCCCAGGAAUAGCUGGAGUGCAGUCCCUUCCCCUCUUCCCCAUGACAUAGACCUUUACUUUGAACCAGGGCCAGCCUUAGAGGUGGGCGACGUGGGCCACUGUCCAGUGCACUGUGGUCAAGGGGGUGACAUGGUCAAGAGGCAAGGAGAAGGGUGGGACCGCAAGACCACAGAAGGAAGCUUGGAUCAAUGCUGUGGGGGGUAGGCAGUGGGGUUCGAGGGUGAUGGGGGAGUGGGGAGCCUGGGGAGAAAGUAGGGUGCAGGGAUGAUGGUGGGAGGAUGGGGUGGUAGCGGAGGCCACGUGUGAUGGAAAGUAGGUUGGGAGCCCAGAGAGGCAGCGUGCCCAGGGGAGAAGCAGACGUGGGAGGUAGUGGGAGCCAGUGGUGAUGGGGAGCUGAUGGACGCAGGGGAGGCCAGGUGUCAUGGGGGAUAGAUGGUGGGCCCAGGGAGGCAGCAGGUGUCAGGGGCAAAAAAAUGUAAGUUCUCCAACCUAGGAUGACAUUUUCCCUAUGGCCAGACUUUGUUAUUACACAUUUCAUUAUUUAGUACAUUUUGUAGCUGAUAAAAACAAUUACCAAAUUGAACUGUAAAAUUAAAUAAUAAAUUGUUAUUAUUAUUUGUGUUAUGGUUGGCCUAGGAGCCCCAGUCUUGAACCAGGACCCCACUGUGCCAGGCUCGGCACAACCACAGAACAGUCAAUCCCUGCCCCAGAGAGCUGACACUCUAAGUAGAAGGCAAGGGACAAGAGAGGGAUACAGACAGAUGAGGAGCACAAUGACACAAUGAGACAACACUGACAACAUGAUGAGCAAUGGUCACAGCUCACCCGCAGCCUGACAGUUGUCAAAAUUUUGUAGGAAAGAAAAAAUAUGUUUCCUAAGGCUAAUCAGGAUGCAGCCAGAUGAGCAAGAAAGUGUUUUUUCCUCUCCUGU